AUUGAACGCUGGCGGCAUGCCUAACACAUGCAAGUCGAGCGGCUGCAGGGAGCUUGCUCUUGGGUUCAGCGGCGAACGGGUGAGUAAUGCCUAGGAAUCUGCCUGGUAGUGGGGGAUAACGUCCGGAAACGGGCGCUAAUACCGCAUACGUCCUGAGGGUGAAAGCGGGGGAUCUUCAGACCUCGCGCUAUCAGAUGAGCCUAGGUCGGAUUAGCUAGUUGGUGGGGUAAAGGCUUACCAAGGCGACGAUCCGUAACUGGUCUGAGAGGAUGAUCAGUCACACUGGAACUGAGACAAGGCCCAGACUCCUACGGGAGGCAGCAGUGGGGAAUAUUGGACAAUGGGCGAAAGCCUGAUCCAGCCAUGCCGCGUGCGGGAAGAAGGCCUUCGGAUUGUAAAGCGCUUUUGGUCGGGAAGAAGGGCAGUAAGCUAAUACCCCGCGGGGAUGACGGUACCAGAAGAAUAAGCACCGGCUAACUACGUG
RNAcentral lists this ribosomal RNA (484 nucleotides) under uncultured bacterium. Its description in RNAcentral is "partial 16S ribosomal RNA". It matches the Rfam family "Bacterial small subunit ribosomal RNA", at positions 30 to 507 of the family's 1533-position model. The record is from RNAcentral.